GUCCGUUUAUGGUCUGACCGAGAGAGUGUGGUAACUAGUGUGGGUUUCUUUGGGGGAAAAUGGCGGGACAUUGCACUGGACAUUCGAAAGAGAAAGCAAAAGGAAUCUUCAGCAUAAAAGUCAACCUUUGACAGAAAUGCUAAAAGGGCGUUGAGGGUGUCUCUGUUUGCAGCUGGGAGAAGACAACAUAGCAACUGGAGGGCUUCAAUUUCUUUGGCAGUGUCUGAAAUUCCUGGAUCAUGGAUCGGGUUACGUAGUAGAAGACGUCCAUAUCUUCAUCGAUCUUCUCCAGGACGUCCCAAGCUUCCAGCUCCUCGUCCCACAGGUGCCUGUGGCGGGCUGUCUGUUCACGAGGCGUUGAAUGGGAUGUGCACAUUUCCUCAAUGGGCAUCACGUGAUGACAGGGAUCACGUGCCCUCCUUAUCCUGGGACUUAAAAUCGAAGUUUUUGUUAAAAAAAAAAUAGGAAGAAAUAGGAAAUUAUUAUAAUCAAAUAAACCACUUUGAUAAGUUUUUAAAUUGCUGUUUUUCCGCAGUCCAAUAAAUCACAAUAAAUCAAUAAGACACGCCAUAACAUACUCUAUGGCUUCAAUUUUCUUGGUUUUAUUUUUCUCGUUGUGUGUUUUCGCGGAUGGCGGGCUGAUAACCAGUGCCCCUCUGGCCCUUCUGAGUGUCAAGGUCUAUUUACUCUACCACCACCAUUGAAAACGGCCCACAACGCUGCCAUUUUGUCAACAGAAAGAAUCCAUUCGCAUCCCUAUACUUAUAUUUCCUAGGCAUUAUUUACGGCAGAAUUUCUUUCUUCCUAGAAUAAAGCUUUGGUUUUAGACGUUUAUUUUUUAAUUACAAAGUCAAAAUGUGAUGGUAAUUAAAACAAAAAAUCAAUAACGGUGUGGCUAUAGGAGUAUCUAAGAGGACAGAUUGGUAUUUUAUUACCCUUCCAAGAAUAAAUUUUUGCUUUUAGACGUCUAUUUUGGAAUUUAAAAGUUACAAAAUGCUAUGGUAAUUAAAGGGAAACAAAAAUAAAGGAGGGUAUCUUUGAGGCAUUCCGUUACACUCCGUUACAAGGGUUAUUUACUCUCCGUUCAAUUACUAAGUAUUGGCGAUAUUAGGUUUAAUUGAAAGAAAAGAUCACAAGACAUCAAAGACUGCGGGGCAGCGGAGCUGGAGAAAGAGCGCGCGCAGGAGACACCGUGCUGGCUAUCGCUUCCCAUUCGGACCUUUUAAUCAGACAUUUACAUUAAACGUCACGAAAACAACUUCUCGCUAACAGUUUAUUGCGAUUAACUCAAAUACUCGCUCACGGGACCGUUCAGGGUUUAUCCCAUAGACGUGGGUCUCAGGGGUUUUCACUCAUGCUUGUUGAGAGGAUCGAUUUCCGACUGAUGACUGCAUUCACUGAUAACACAACGCUGGGUGAACAAUAAUAAACCUUUUGAUGGUCUGCGAUGCAAAGACCCCUGGCCUUAAUCCCUCAGUUCUCGCAUGAACUGUUCAAUGGUAAAGGAUUAGGGCAAGGUACUAUCGAUAGAGCAUAGUAGCAUCCCUAUUUGGCCCUAUGAUAAUACGCGAUAAAUGAUAAUGAGUUGGUGGGAGAAGUCAAACACUGCGCCGAGGUUACCACAGAGUUGGAAUACAAGCGAGGAAGUUUACUCUAACGGAGUAAACACGAAGACUUGGUGACUCCAAUGAAUGAACAUAAGGAGCCGGUCGCAGGGUCGGGCAAUGGCGUUCUAUAUUGGGCUCGAUUUUCACACUUGAUUAAAGUUACACCAAGGACAAUAAAUAAUAUCUAUCUAAACA
Nematostella vectensis (starlet sea anemone) is the source of this 1802-nucleotide long non-coding RNA. RefSeq lists it as uncharacterized. Lineage: Eukaryota; Metazoa; Cnidaria; Anthozoa; Actiniaria; Edwardsiidae. The record is from RefSeq and is a predicted model, not a curated record. The transcript has 5 exons.